AUUUCUAGAAAGCAGCACUGGUCAUAAUGGUUUUUAGCACUCUGCAGCACCCCAGAUACUAUCACUUGGUUGCUUUAGUGCAAAAUCGCCAGACUCCGUUUAUGAACUCACCAUGCCCAUUAUCAAAACUGUGGUGAGUGAAUUUUAGUUUCUGCAGUAAGACUCUCUAUAUACUUCUUUAAUAAAAAUGAACUCAAGGUACUUUCUCCCCUUCUACAUACAUCUAUUUAUUUAUCCUUCUGUAGAAAACUGAGAUUCUCCCACAGAAACAAAGGAUUUCUGCUGAAUCAGACCAAAGGUCUACAUAUAGUCUAACAUCCUGUUCCUGCAGUGGCCAACAAGACGCCUAUGCGAAGUCCACCAGCCAGAC
Podarcis lilfordi (Lilford's wall lizard) is the source of this 370-nucleotide non-coding RNA. Lineage: Eukaryota; Metazoa; Chordata; Lepidosauria; Squamata; Lacertidae. The record is from the annotation of a GenBank genome assembly.